AGAGUUUGAUCCUGGCUCAGAUUGAACGCUGGCGGCAGGCCUAACACAUGCAAGUCGAGCGAGAAAGCCCUUCGGGGUGAGUACAGCGGCGGACGGGUGAGUAACGCGUAGGAAUCUACCCAGUAGUGGGGGACAACUUGGGGAAACCCAAGCUAAUACCGCAUACGCCCUACGGGGGAAAGCGGGGGAUCUUCGGACCUCGCGCUAUUGGAUGAGCCUGCGUCGGAUUAGCUAGUUGGUGGGGUAAAAGCCUACCAAGGCGACGAUCCGUAGCUGGUCUGAGAGGAUGAUCAGCCACACUGGAACUGAGACACGGUCCAGACUCCUACGGGAGGCAGCAGUGGGGAAUAUUGCGCAAUGGGGGCAACCCUGACGCAGCCAUGCCGCGUGUGUGAAGAAGGCCCUAGGGUUGUAAAGCACUUUCAAUUGGGAAGAAAAGCUUGUCGUUAAUAGCGGCAAGCCCUGACAUUACCUUUAGAAGAAGCACCGGCUAACUCCGUGCCAGCAGCCGCGGUAAUACGGAGGGUGCGAGCGUUAAUCGGAAUUACUGGGCGUAAA
RNAcentral lists this ribosomal RNA (558 nucleotides) under uncultured Pseudomonadota bacterium. RNAcentral describes it as "bacterial SSU rRNA". It matches the Rfam family "Bacterial small subunit ribosomal RNA", at positions 8 to 564 of the family's 1533-position model. The record is from RNAcentral. Lineage: Bacteria; Pseudomonadati; Pseudomonadota.